RNAcentral lists this long non-coding RNA (207 nucleotides) under Capsicum annuum. RNAcentral's name for it is "long non-coding RNA (CANN_LNC011163)". Lineage: Eukaryota; Viridiplantae; Streptophyta; Magnoliopsida; Solanales; Solanaceae. The record is from RNAcentral.
CUUCAUUAAUACAUAUAUUUUCAUAUCAUGUUAAAGCUCUUCUUAAGAAUAAUUUUUCUCUGUUGUAUGUUAUGGAUAAUUGUGUAUGUUCUAUAUUGUAUGGUUUUAAUUGUUCUAGCCAUUUUAUUCCUAAUAUUAUGUCUGCUUUUUGCAUUUCUUCCUUUAUUUCAAAUUCUAUUUUUAUUUUUCUAACUUCUAUUGUUAUUU